Long non-coding RNA from Pistacia vera, 405 nucleotides. RefSeq lists it as uncharacterized. The transcript is spliced from 4 exons. Lineage: Eukaryota; Viridiplantae; Streptophyta; Magnoliopsida; Sapindales; Anacardiaceae. The record is from RefSeq and is a predicted model, not a curated record.
AUUUUCUUACAAAUUUUUCUCAAUUGGAAGCAAGUAGAGUAUAUUCAAAUUUUAGAAGGACAGUGACAGGCUCUCAGCAUUUGCUGCUUCGAGAUCUUCUCUUACAGCAUGGCUUGGCAUUUUAUUGACCAGUACUUCUUUCAAUGAAGAAACCAGGCUGUUUCGGUUGAGGCAAUGUUGCUCCCUCGUUUGCCAACAUGAAAGCUGCAGAUGAUAUGUCUGGUCUGUCCUCUGGAAACUUUUGAACACAUAAUAAACCCACCUGAAUGCAUCGUAGUACUUUAGAUUUAACACAUGAAUCCUCCAAACAUGAAUCCAUAAGUUCUAAGGCCUUGGUGUAAUUCCAAAGCAACCAUGCCUGCACAAUUGUAAACCCACAUCCCAUACGCACAGAAAUGAGUCAUA